RNAcentral lists this long non-coding RNA (1038 nucleotides) under Serinus canaria (Common canary). RNAcentral describes it as "lncRNA (ENSSCAG00000000815.1)". The record is from RNAcentral. Lineage: Eukaryota; Metazoa; Chordata; Aves; Passeriformes; Fringillidae.
GACCUGGAAACAAGAAGAAGCACAAACCAUGUCACUGUUUCACAGGCCUGAGGAGGGUCUGACCACUCUAUGGGACAAUUAAACCUGCCCACGGGUGGGGAAAAUCCCCACCUUUCCCACCCGUAAAUGUGCCCCUUCCUCAAGGGCCUGCAGAGCAGACCAGCUGGGGCAUGGCUCCGGAACCUGUCCCCCCACCUCUGCUACCCACCAUCCACAUGGAUGGAUGCUUUUGUCAGGCUGGCUGCCCCUGCCUCAGCCCGUUCCAGGCUGGCUGGCAGAAGCUGUCAGCAAGGCCAGCAGCCAGCUCCCCUUCGACAACAUCAGUCCCCUGUCCCACCAAAAAGCAGCUCGGGGGUCAGCAGAAAUAUUAAUAUUCUCCAGUGCCGCCAAGCGGGGAACCUCCAGCACAGGGCCAGGCUGAGCCCUGCUCUGCCUGGAAGCACCAGCAUCCCCCCAGCCCUGCCCUGGCUGGGGACUCAUCUUGAUUUCAUCAGGGCGCAGAGCGUGUCCUCCAGGCAGGGCCCGCAGCCAAAGCCAAUCGGCUCUGCCCUGCCAGCGGCCAGCUCCAGGAUGGUGUUCCCAGCUCCACGUCGUGCUCCAGAAGAACACGCCAGCUGUGCCUCGGCUUGCGGCAACAUCACGAUGCCAUUGACCUGCAGGGGGAUGUUUCCCCUGUCCCAGUCCAUGGCACCUUCACUGCACUGCCACCACUUCUCCAAUAGGAUGGGGAGCUCGGAGCUGCUCCCUCCACAGCUCGCUGAGGACCAGCGGAAGCAUCUCCUUGGCUGUGCUCUCUCCUCCACACUGCAGCCACAGGGAAACACUCCAGGCUUUUCUUCCAGAGCCACGGGACUCGUGCUGCUGGUGCUUGCUGGGCUCCGGGAUCCUACUGUGCACAGGGAUUCAUCUCUGCUGUCUGCUGGGUCAGGCAGGGCUCCUGCAGCCAAGAAUGCUCAAAAAGGUCCUCCAGGGAUGGCCUGUCGGUGGGGUCCAUGCAUAAACACCACCUGAUGAGGUGCUGGCACUCUGCGGAGAGAA